Molecule: RNA transcript, 1423 nt
Organism: Hordeum vulgare subsp. vulgare (domesticated barley)
Lineage: Eukaryota; Viridiplantae; Streptophyta; Magnoliopsida; Poales; Poaceae
Gene name: ervatamin-B-like
Exons: 2
Source: RefSeq, a predicted model, not a curated record
CACGGAGCAGAGGACCCUCGCCACCAUCAUCAAAAUCAAGUGUUCUUGCAUCAACACAUGGGCAAGGCUCCCCUCUUCCGCUCGUUGCCUCUCCUCGUCCUCCUAGUCGCUCUGUCCAGCACCACAUUACCUUCCUCCCGUUCUACGUCCGUCGAUGGAGACCACCAUGACCUGCUGAUGCUGGGUAGGUUCCACCGAUGGAUGUCGUGGCAUGGCCGGACGUAUCCGAGUGCCGCCGAGAAGCUGCGGCGGUUUGAGGCGUACCGUCGCAACGUGGACCUCAUCGACGCCUCCAACAGGGACGCCGAGAGGCUGGGUUAUGAGCUCGGUGAGAACGAGUUCACCGACCUUACCAACGAGGAGUUCAUGACACGGUAUGUCGGUGGAGCCGGUGCUGGUGGUGGUCUCAUCACUACUUUGGCCGGAGAUGUCGUCGAAGGGGUGGUAUCAUCCAAGUACACUGUCGAGGGGGGCGGUAAUUUGACGAUGACCACCUCCGACCCUCUCGGCAGUUCGACUGGAGGGAGCAUGGCGCUGUCACGCCUGCAAAGCAACAAGGGGCAUGCGGAUGCUGCUGGGCGUUUGCUGCGGCGGCGACGGUGGAGAGCUUGAACAAGAUAAAUGGCGGGGAGCUGGUGGACCUGUCGGUGCAGGAGCUGGUGGACUGCAGCACGGGUGUGUUCAGCUCGCCGUGCGGCUACGGGUGGCCCAAGAGCGCACUCCAGUGGAUCAAAUCAAAAGGUGGCCUCCUCACGGAGGCCGAGUACCCCUACUUGGCCAAGCGAGGCAGAUGCGAGGUGCACGACGCCGCCCGACGCAUCGGCAAGAUCACCGGCGUCCAGGACGUGCAGCCGGGGAGCAACGAGAACGCGCUGGCGCUGGCCGUGCUCAGGACGCCGGUGACCGUCCAGAUCGACGGGAGCGGCUCCGUGCUGCAGAACUACAAAUCCGGCGUGUACAAGGGGCCGUGCACCACCAGCCAGAACCACGUGGUGACGGUGGUCGGCUACGGGGUCACCGGCGCCGGAGAAGAGUACUGGAUCGCCAAGAACUCGUGGGGCCAGACGUGGGGCCAGAAGGGCUUCUUCUUCAUGCGUAGGGGAGCCGACGGGCCCCGCGGGCUGUGUGGCAUGGCCAUGUACGGUGCUUAUCCCGUCAUGUAGUUAGUAUUAUAUCAUGGUAUGCGCGCAACGUAAUGUGCUAUUAAAAUAAGAUGCACGAUACAUGGAUGUGUGGACGAUGAUGCCACCAGUACCAUCUAUGCCAAAUUACUUUGGCACCGUAUCUACAGAUGAUACGAUAUUGUUACUAUAUAUAUGUGUGUGGUUCCACGUGUAUAAUGAUGCGUAUGCUUUGUCAGGUGUGUAUUUUUGAAAUGUAAGUGCAAGUACUUAAUAAUAAGUUAUACACUAUGUAUCCUUUA